CAGCAAGCUGCAAGUAUCCAAUAAUAAGUUGAACUUUUCUAAUAUGCAUAUUAAGUUGAAUUGUGUUUGCAUUUAUAGUCAAGUUCUUGGAAAUUGUGUCCAUGGUAUUUAGUGGUGCACAGUUGGCAAGGAGAUAAUGCAACUAAUUAUGAGCUUGCUUAGCAGAUUGAAAUGGGAAAUAUGAAGAAAUAGUUUGUGAUAUAAUAUAUUGCAAUUCACUGUUAGUUUAGCCUAGUUACUAAAUGGCGCCAAAUUUGUUAGUAAGCAGUUAUUCAGUUCAGUGGGUAGCUAGAAUCUUCUAGUUUCUUCUCACAUGUACAUAAACAUGUAUAGACAGUUAUUUCUAUUAGAUCAAUGAGAAUAUUUUCUCUCCAAUCUUCUUGUAUUUUUUCUCUCCAAACUUCUUAUUUUUCUUUCUCUAUACCUUGUUCAUCUCUGUUUUGUUAUUCUUCGUUCAGGGUAUCAAAGCCACGUUCCUAUGGCAUUUGAAGAAUUGUUGCUGCACACAGAUCUAUGGAGGACAAGAUUCAGUCACAAGUUCAGAUCGGGCAUGGAGAUGGUGUUCUUGGAUGUUCUUCCAUUACGGCUUAUCAGGUGAAAGAUCUUUAUAGUCUCCAGAGUGCAAAUCAUCCCGUUAUGACUCUGGUAAGCGCUUCCUUGAUUGGAUCUAAUUACUUGUCAUGGAACAACAAUCUGUCAAAUGUGAUCCAGCAAGAAAUUGCCAAGUAUGUGAAGGGAAAUAUGGUUAUGGAGUCUAGUUCUACCAACUACUCAAAUUUUACAGGUAACGAAUCUCAUUGGUGUAUUUUUAGCAAGAAUGAUAAUGUUAUUGGUACCUGGAUAGUAGAUACUAGUGCGACCAGCCAUAUAUGCUCAGA
RNAcentral lists this unclassified non-coding RNA (878 nucleotides) under Hevea brasiliensis (rubber tree). The record is from RNAcentral. Lineage: Eukaryota; Viridiplantae; Streptophyta; Magnoliopsida; Malpighiales; Euphorbiaceae.